RNAcentral lists this long non-coding RNA (313 nucleotides) under Mytilus galloprovincialis (Mediterranean mussel). Lineage: Eukaryota; Metazoa; Mollusca; Bivalvia; Mytilida; Mytilidae. The record is from RNAcentral.
GUCAGGCCUAAUAGUGCAUUUAUAAAUCAGUUUUAGUAUUUCUUCUUACAGUUUGAGCAGUUUUCAGGGUUUUUUAUUCUGCUGUUAUACCUUGUCUCGACGUAACUGAUGGGUGUGCGCUAACGCUUACUCACAUUAUCUUUCAAUUGUCUGUGUCUGUUAUCUCGCGGUUCCUACUACAUGUAUCUACCGUUUUCUUAUUUUCUGUCAUAUAUUUUAGUUUCCCUUACAUAUGAAAAAAAUAGAUGAAGGGUAUGCGCAAAUGAGAUGGAAGCCAAACGACACAAAAUACAAAAUCACUUCAAUAUAUCUU